GACGAAGGGUGCUAGCGUUGUUCGGAAUCACUGGGCGUAAAGCGCACGUAGGCGGCUUGUUAAGUCAGGGGUGAAAUCCUGGAGCUCAACUCCAGAACUGCCUUUGAUACUGGCGAUCUUGAGUCCGGGAGAGGUGAGUGGAACUGCGAGUGUAGAGGUGAAAUUCGUAGAUAUUCGCAAGAACACCAGUGGCGAAGGCGGCUCACUGGCCCGGUACUGACGCUGAGGUGCGAAAGCGUGGGGAGCAAACAGG
RNAcentral lists this ribosomal RNA (253 nucleotides) under uncultured bacterium. RNAcentral's name for it is "partial 16S ribosomal RNA". It matches the Rfam family "Bacterial small subunit ribosomal RNA", at positions 524 to 776 of the family's 1533-position model. The record is from RNAcentral.